This 254-nucleotide ribosomal RNA is filed under the name uncultured bacterium. RNAcentral describes it as "partial 16S ribosomal RNA". It matches the Rfam family "Bacterial small subunit ribosomal RNA", at positions 524 to 776 of the family's 1533-position model. The record is from RNAcentral.
UACAGAGGUCCCGAGCGUUGUUCGGAUUUAUUGGGCGUAAAGGGUGCGUAGGCGGCGGAGUAAGUUGGGUGUGAAAUCCCGGGGCUCAACCUCGGAAUGGCAUUCAAUACUGCUUCGCUAGAGUACUGGAGAGGAGGCUGGAAUUUACGGUGUAGCAGUGAAAUGCGUAGAUAUCGUAAGGAAGGCCGGUGGCGAAAGCGAGCCUCUGGACAGUUACUGACGCUGAUGCACGAAGGCCAGGGGGAGCAAACGGG